This 200-nucleotide ribosomal RNA is filed under the name uncultured bacterium. Its description in RNAcentral is "partial 16S ribosomal RNA". It matches the Rfam family "Bacterial small subunit ribosomal RNA", at positions 8 to 218 of the family's 1533-position model. The record is from RNAcentral.
AGAGUUUGAUCAUGGCUCAGGAUAAACGCUGGCGGCGUGCCUAACACAUGCAAGUCGAACGCGCUUUGCAAGAAGCGAGUGGCGGACGGGUGAGUAACACGUGGGAACCUACCCGGCGGUGAGGAAUACCGGCGAGAAAUCGCCGACAAGACCGCAUAGGCUCGGCGCAAGCCGAGCAAAGCGCCUUUACGGAGGGGCGC